RNAcentral lists this ribosomal RNA (253 nucleotides) under uncultured bacterium. RNAcentral describes it as "partial 16S ribosomal RNA". It matches the Rfam family "Bacterial small subunit ribosomal RNA", at positions 524 to 776 of the family's 1533-position model. The record is from RNAcentral.
UACGGAGGGUGCAAGCGUUAUCCGGAUUCACUGGGUUUAAAGGGUGCGUAGGUGGGUUGGUAAGUCAGUGGUGAAAUCUCCGAGCUUAACUUGGAAACUGCCAUUGGUACUAUUAGUCUUGAAUAUUGUGGAGGUCAGCGGAAUAUGUCAUGUAGCGGUGAAAUGCUUAGAGAUGACAUAGAACACCAAUUGCGAAGGCAGCUGGCUACACAUAUAUUGACACUGAGGCACGAAAGCGUGGGGAUCAAACAGG